UGGACGAUGGUGUAAUGGUAACACUACAGGUUUUGGUUCUGUCAUUCCCGGUUCGAAUCCGAGUCGUCCAACAA
Molecule: transfer RNA, 74 nt
Filed under: Xylanibacter ruminicola
Lineage: Bacteria; Pseudomonadati; Bacteroidota; Bacteroidia; Bacteroidales; Prevotellaceae
Description: tRNA-Gln
Rfam family: tRNA
About the family: Transfer RNA (tRNA) molecules are approximately 80 nucleotides in length. Their secondary structure includes four short double-helical elements and three loops (D, anti-codon, and T loops).
Source: RNAcentral